RNAcentral lists this long non-coding RNA (535 nucleotides) under Carica papaya (papaya). RNAcentral describes it as "long non-coding RNA (CPAP_LNC009916)". Lineage: Eukaryota; Viridiplantae; Streptophyta; Magnoliopsida; Brassicales; Caricaceae. The record is from RNAcentral.
AAGGGCCUCAUCGGAGGCAAAAACCGAGGAGGGGCGCGGCGGCGCCGCUGGGUUUCAGCCGUGUUUUCCGGCCGUUUAGCCGGGAUUUUGGCUCCGAUUUGGCCACAGGAGAACUCAGCGUGGAAAAACGAGUCAGGGGUAUGAAAUUUACCUCGAUCAACGGUCGGAAAACUCCCCGGUGCGGCGGCGGGUGGCAGCAGCCGGCUCCUCCGGCGUCUGGUUCGUCUUCUCCGGCGAGGGCAGGCGGCUAGGGUUUUUGUGGUCAGGUGUGGGGGUUCUAUUUAUACCCUUUUGCCUUUUGAUCUCAGUCGUCCAUUUUGAUUAAAUAUGGACCGUCCGUUUUUGAUUGAAUCUGGGCCGUCCGUGCGAUUACAUCUGGGCCGUCUAUGCGUACGCUUGAUCUGGGCCGUCCGAUCGCGCACGCGCGGGUCGCCCACGUGGUCGUUCCCUGGUCGACGUAGUCUUGCCACGCGGCAGGUCCUGGUUGGCCAGGGCUGCUGACUGGACCGCUGACGUGGCUGCUGACGUGGCUGCU